GGUGAUUGGAUCAUGGAGGCAGUUUCUCAUGAAUGGUUUAGCACUAUCUCCUUGGUGCUAUUCUCACGAUAGUGAGUUCUCAUGAAAUCUGAUCAUUUAAAAGUGAGUAGAACCUCCCCCAUCUCUCUCUCUUGCUUCUGCUCCUGCCAUGUGAGACGCCUCACUCCCUCUUUGUCUUCUGCCAUGACUGGAAGAUUCCUGAGGCCUCCCUAGAAGCAGAAGCCACUGUGCUUCCUGUACAGCCUUCAGAACUAGAAGAUGGAAUGAAACUAGCAACACAAAUCUCUUUUUUGAGAUUUUUAAAAAAGAAAUAAAAAAGGAGAUCAAGAUCAUUGAGGCCAAGACCCUCAGCUCAGAAGUCAGGAUUUUGGAGGCUUGGCUGACUCAGGUAGGAGCUUUUCUUGACUAGAAAAUACUGUUUAUAGAGUGGCCAGGGAAGAAUUAGACAUUAUGAUCAGAUUCCCUGGGCACUGUGAUCCUAAAUUAUGUGGAAUAUGCAUGUCAUUUUUACAUUCUUGAGGUCCUUACAGAUUUAUAAAGCAAAUCAGCAAUUCAGCAUCCUUCUGGCUUCAUGCAGAACAAAGAAGCCGACAUCCCGAAGUCCAGGGAUGUAGUUCUUGAUAAGCCUACC
This 631-nucleotide long non-coding RNA is filed under the name Homo sapiens (human). RNAcentral's name for it is "HSALNT0252357". The record is from RNAcentral. Lineage: Eukaryota; Metazoa; Chordata; Mammalia; Primates; Hominidae.